Non-coding RNA from Pelobates cultripes (western spadefoot toad), 300 nucleotides. NCBI's taxonomy places the organism in Eukaryota, Metazoa, Chordata, Amphibia, Anura, Pelobatidae. The record is from the annotation of a GenBank genome assembly.
CAUCCAGAUUCCUUCACUCUGCUUCUAUCAUCUGUCCAUACUCAUACCUCUGAUGCCCACCUUCAAGACUUCAUUAGAGCUGCACCGUUCCUAUGAACUCCCUUCUCUGCUCUGUUAGACUCUCACCUGUCAGUCUCCGUACAUUCAAAAAAAUGAUUAAAAACUCACUUCUACAGGAAGGCAAAUUAAUUAAAUAGGUUCUCCUAAUUGCCCGAUGUACAGUCAUGGUGUUUUAAAGGCUGUUCCUGAACCCUUGGGCAUCAUAAUCUCUUCCUGAAGUGUCCUGGUUCACUUUUAAAC